CAAUAGCGUAUAUUAAAGUUGUUGCAGUUAAAAAGCUCGUAGUUGGAUUUCUGGUGGGAGCGAUCGGUCUGGCGCUUAGCGCGAGUACUUGCAUCGUCUCCGGCCAUCCUUGGGGAGAGUCUGUCUGGCAUUAGGUUGUCGGGCAGAGGAUCCUCAUCGUUUACUGUGAAAAAAUUAGAGUGUUCAAAGCAGGCUUAUGCCGUUGAAUAUAUUAGCAUGGAAUAAUAAGAUAGGACUUUGGUACUAUUUUGUUGGUUUGCGCACCAAAGUAAUGAUUAAUAGGGACAGUUGGGGGUAUUCGUAUUCCGUUGUCAGAGGUGAAAUUCUUGGAUUUUUUACAGACGAACUACUGCGAAAGCAUUUAUCAAGGAUGUUUUCAUUAA
Molecule: ribosomal RNA, 383 nt
Filed under: uncultured eukaryote
Lineage: Eukaryota
Description: partial 18S ribosomal RNA
Rfam family: Eukaryotic small subunit ribosomal RNA
Source: RNAcentral